GACGAACGCUGGCGGCGUGCUUAACACAUGCAAGUCGAACGGAAAGGCCCCUUUGGGGGUCCUCGAGUGGCGAACGGGUGAGUAACACGUGAGUAACCUGCCCUUGACUUCGGGAUAACUUCAGGAAACUGGGGCUAAUACCGGAUAGGAAUCCUUGCUGCAUGGUGGGGGUUGGAAAGCUUCGGCGGUUUUGGAUGGACUCGCGGCUUAUCAGCUUGUUGGUGGGGUAGUGGCUUACCAAGGCUUUGACGGGUAGCCGGCCUGAGAGGGCGACCGGCCACAUUGGGACUGAGAGACGGCCCAGACUCCGACGGGAGGCAGCAGUGGGGAAUAUUGCACAAUGGGCGGAAGCCUGAUGCAGCAACGCCGCGUGCGGGAUGACGGCCUUCGGGUUGUAAAACGCUUUCAGCAGGGGCGAAGCUUGUGGUGACGGUACCUGCAGAAGAAGCACCGGCUAACUACGUG
This 465-nucleotide ribosomal RNA is filed under the name uncultured bacterium. RNAcentral describes it as "partial 16S ribosomal RNA". It matches the Rfam family "Bacterial small subunit ribosomal RNA", at positions 28 to 507 of the family's 1533-position model. The record is from RNAcentral.